GUAAGCGUAGCGAUACGUUGAGCUAACCAGUACUAAUGAACCGUGAGGCUUAACCUUACAACACCGAAGGUGUUU
This 75-nucleotide ribosomal RNA is filed under the name Buttiauxella izardii. RNAcentral's name for it is "partial 23S ribosomal RNA". Lineage: Bacteria; Pseudomonadati; Pseudomonadota; Gammaproteobacteria; Enterobacterales; Enterobacteriaceae. The record is from RNAcentral.